UGGGAAGUCUGAAUAAAAAACUCAAUAUGCUUAACAUGGUUCUCUCGAUUCCCAUCAGAUUAACUACCAUGUGGAGUUAAAUAUUCACAAAGCACUGAUCUUUAUGAACAGACUUAUUUUAUCUUGCUUGCAGUUGUUCUGCAAUAAGAAGAUACGAAAUCAAACAAGUAUAAUAUCCAUACGUGAUAUACAAAUUCUCGUAUGAUACAAAAGUUGCAUUCCACUCUCAUGAUCUCUUCACUUCUUCAUAAACAUGCAGAGAUAUGUCAAAGAAGGGGCAGUCAAUUCAGACUGCUUUUAAAUUGCAUCAGAAAGCAACAUCAAGCAAAAUGUCAAAAUUUCCCAUGUUCACCAAUUUGAAGAAAGAAUCAAGCGUCCUAUGUACUUCAUUUGCUUUUGGAUGUUCAAUAUCACCAGCUAGGAACUCUUCAACCACACCAUUCAACUCUAUGACGCUGCUCCCUGGCUGCUUCUUCACUCCUGCUUCUGAGAUUAAUUUCCUAACUCUAUUGGCUCCCAUCUCCCAGCCAGCUUCCUUAUAGAUAUUGUAUGAGACUAGAUGAGUACCAGAAUCUACUAUUCCCAUAUCAGCUAGCUUUUUCCAAACUCUGUUUCCUACUUCAACAUUCCCAUAAAUUCUACAUGCACCCAAAAGGGCCCCCCACACAUUAGCGUCCUUUCCCCCAAGCCCUCCCAUCUUCUCAUCUAUAAACUUUUCAGCUUCCUCUACCAUGCCCGAUCUCGCCAAAAGAUCAACAAUGCAAGCAUAAUGCUCAACCUGAGGUUUAACCCCGUACACACUACCCAUUUUUGCAAACAAAUCAAGGCCAUUUUUAACCAUCUUAGCAUGGGUGAAAGCAGAAAGGAGAGAAACGAAUGUGGUCUCCGUGGGUUGAGUCCCACUAAAGAUCAUCCCAUAAAACAAUUCAAGGGACUUCCUUGCAACUCCAUUCAUUGCAAAUCCAGAAAUCAUAGCAUUCCAAGCUCCAGCAUCUUUAAUAAAAAUACUCUUGAAAACUGACAGAGCUGAAUCCACAUGACCACAUUUCGAGUACAUAUCAACUAAUGCAGUAGCCAAGAUUGGGUUAGCUUCAAGAUUAAACCGCUUCACAUAAGAGUGUACCCAUAAUCCUUGAGUUAUAGCACCAAGAUGAGCACAAGCAGUGAGAACACUAACAAGAACCGACUCAUUAGGCACCAUGUCAGCUUCUUGCAUUCUCCUAAACAGACAAAGCACCUCUUUGAAGUCUCCAGCCCUAGAAUAAGCCGCCAUUAUUGCACUCCACGAUAUCACAUUUCUCUCCGGCAUUUUCUCAAACAAAUCUCUAGCUUUCUCAAUGUCCCCCACCUUUCCAUAGCCAUCAAUCAUCCCAGUACACAUGACGACAUCCCUCUUAGGACUUCUGUCAAACAGCAUUCGUGCAGCUUCAAUAUUAUGAACCAAAGAAUAAAACUCAAUCAACGAACUCACACCAAAAGGAUCAUUAGAAAACCCAAAUUUCACUACAUGGGCAUGAACUAAAGUACCCAUUAAUUUGAAAGAAGGAACAAGAAUCGAACACGCUUUAAUCAAGGGCGGAAACGUGUAGGCAUUAACGCCAAGGCCACAACUUAACAUAUCCAAAUAGCAUAAAAUCGCAGGUUUUGGCAAAUUUGUUUGAACAAAACCUCUAAUCAUAGUAUUAUACAUGAAAGUGUUACGGAGACAAAUAUAGUCGAAAACUAAGCAAGCGUAGGAGAAGAAAGAGGGGUUGUUGGAGGUGGCAGCAACAGAAAGGAGAGGU
RNAcentral lists this unclassified non-coding RNA (1784 nucleotides) under Hevea brasiliensis (rubber tree). The record is from RNAcentral. Lineage: Eukaryota; Viridiplantae; Streptophyta; Magnoliopsida; Malpighiales; Euphorbiaceae.